Molecule: long non-coding RNA, 640 nt
Organism: Pteropus alecto (black flying fox)
Lineage: Eukaryota; Metazoa; Chordata; Mammalia; Chiroptera; Pteropodidae
Exons: 3
Source: RefSeq, a predicted model, not a curated record
GGGUGCCACACCUUCCGUGAACUGGUCCAUAGUGUGGCGGUGUACCAGGUUGCUGAAGGAAUCUGUUACAGAGGACUUCUUCCGGUGCCUAAAAAGGAAAAAACGGCCUUGGAUCACUCAGCGAAGGGCAGAGACUUGUGGAAAGGAGGCCGCAACCUGCAGUGAGCAGAGCUCAGGCUUCGAAGUCUCUCAGCCAUAGGUUGAAAUCUCGUCUUUGCUCAAUACCAGCAGUUUGACCCUGGCCUGACGCCAGGGAUUCGGCCCCACCCUCUCAGCGCACCCGUGCUGAGCCCAGAAGAAGGAACAGCCCCGCCUGGGCAGCUGGCAGGCAAAGUGGAAUUUCUAGUCUGAGGUCUGAAGCCACCGGCAUGCUGCUGGGGCUGGGAAUCCUGGCCUCUCCCCAGCUCACCACCGAGAAGCUCCUCAAAUGUGGUAUGGACUGGAAUUUGAGGUACAGAGGUAUGACAAGUCCCCUGACCUGAGACAUUCCAAGUUUAGUUUGCACUCCACAAAGUUCUCGUUUGCACAUAAAGCAGCCAGCCACCUGGCAGCAACAGCCCCCUCACCUCUGAGCUAGACCCAGCUCUGGGACACCACGCCCACUGGGGUCGCACCUUCUGGGCCUAGACCAGCUGUCAAG